UCAGAUUUAUACCAUUGCAACUCACAUUUUUGGUCCUUGUGGUGUUUGGGAUUCUGAUCUAACUAUACUGAUGCUGGAAUUUGCAGUUCACCUAAGCCCCGAGGGACACCUGGUGAGGUAGCUAAUGUGGAUACUGAAUCAGGAAUCAGAAACCGAAGACCAGGAUGAAGGCAGACAAGUAAGUAAGAAAGACAGUUUGGCCCUGCUUCACCUUCACAGCUUCCAAACAGGAAACAAAAUGAAGGGCAACAGUUCAGGACAUGUGUGGAUGUUGUGAACAAGAAUUUUUAAUUAAAAUAUUGUGAGGACGAGAUGGGACAUAGAAGACCAUGUGGAUCCAGAAUAGGUCUUCACAGUCAUUUACAGAUCUACCACGAAGACACUACCUCUGGAAGACAAUCAUACUCGCCAUUGUGUAAUUGCCUGUGAUGAUGAUGAGGAGGAGGAGUCAUCAACCUAAGUACACCAUUGCCCUGAGUUCCUCAUAAAACUCUGCUCGUAAGUAAGGAACAUUUGGGAGUAACUGUGUGAAUUGUCAAGGUCAUCCCUCUAUUCCAAAGAUCAACAAGGGCAUCAACAGUAUCCCUAGCUCUAGCAGAUGGAAAAUCCCACAGAGCAUUCAGAAAUUCUUCUGGUUUAGUCUAUGGACCCUUUUAAUAGUUCUACCACCCUUGAAAAAGAUAGGGUUAGCAGCAAAUCUAAACCUUAUAAAGUAGUGAUCUAUAGGAUUCUUUCAAUCUCCACCCCACCCCUAGAUCACUAUCAUCAUGACCAGUAAAACCAUAUCAGCAGGGCCAGAUAUUAAUUGAGACAGCCCAUGGUUGCAAUGGAAGGCAGAAAUCCUGAGCUGGCCCAUGGAUUUUGGGAUUUACUGUUUAGGAGCAUAUAGAAUUGUCAAAUAGAGUAGGGAACAAAAUAAGAAAUGAAAUUGGAAGGAGAUUUAUAACUGUCUGAAUUAAAUAUUGCCUAAAACAGGCAUCAAGCAAUAGUGUGUGAUGGUUUCCUUAUGGUGAUAGUAUUAAAAGUAAACAAGGGUGCUUAUGUUUUCAUCUGAAAAUAUGUGACAUGCCAUUUAGUUAUUAUUAAUCUAACCUUGAUAAGUUCAUUUUUUCAUCAAACUAGAAAUGCCACGUUCUAAAUCUGGUGCCAUCUUGGAAAAUAUACAGAUUUUUUAUCUGAUAGCCAUAUGGAUUUGGCCAGCACUAUGCUAUUUUUCAAAUCAAAUCAAAUCAAAUCAUGCGAACAGAAC
This 1249-nucleotide long non-coding RNA is filed under the name Anolis carolinensis (green anole). RNAcentral describes it as "lncRNA (ENSACAG00000040874.1)". The record is from RNAcentral. Lineage: Eukaryota; Metazoa; Chordata; Lepidosauria; Squamata; Anolidae.